GGAUUUUGUUCCGCUCAUAUGAAAACCGUCUCAAAUGCCUCCAUUGAUGACUAGUCCGACGUCACCUGACUCCAGUGUCUAAAGCAGAAUCUCCUCCUUGGCGAUAACGUCUGAAUGCAGGCUUCUGGGGCCACAGGGACAGCCAUGUGUUCCGUGAACUACAAUGCGUGUUAUCACUUCACUUGUCUCACCCAACCCACCAUGGUUGCUUAUUUGCUGACUCCAAGGGCUCUGUCGAUUGUUUUAAAGGUGAAGGAGAGUACAGAAAUAAUGACAACACAACGAGGCUGAGGCACGGGAAUCGCUAGAACCGGGAGACAGAGGAUGCAGUGAGCUGAGAUCGUGCCACCGCACUCCAGCCUGGCGACAGAGCAAGACUCCAUCUCCAAAAAAGGAAAAAGAAACUGACAACACAAAAUUAAAGUUAAAUUAAAAUGUAAAAAAAUAAGCACAGGACUAAUCUUUCUCUGGCUUGAUUUUAAAAUGUUAGUUCCAAGUGCUUUAGGUUGGAGAGGU
Long non-coding RNA from Callithrix jacchus (white-tufted-ear marmoset), 516 nucleotides. Lineage: Eukaryota; Metazoa; Chordata; Mammalia; Primates; Cebidae. The record is from Ensembl.